This 492-nucleotide ribosomal RNA is filed under the name uncultured bacterium. Its description in RNAcentral is "partial 16S ribosomal RNA". It matches the Rfam family "Bacterial small subunit ribosomal RNA", at positions 29 to 507 of the family's 1533-position model. The record is from RNAcentral.
AGUGAACGCUGGCGGUAGGCCUAACACAUGCAGGUCGAACGGCAGCGCAGUAAGAGCUUGCUCUUACGGGUGGCGAGUGGCGGACGGGUGAGGAAUACAUCGGAAUCUACUUUUUCGUGGGGGAUAACGUAGGGAAACUUACGCUAAUACCGCAUACGACCUACGGGUGAAAGCAGGGGAUCUUCGGACCUUGCGCGAUUGAAUGAGCCGAUGUCGGAUUAGCUAGUUGGCGGGGUAAAGGCCCACCAAGGCGACGAUCCGUAGCUGGUCUGAGAGGAUGAUCAGCCACACUGGAACUGAGACACGGUCCAGACUCCUACGGGAGGCAGCAGUGGGGAAUAUUGGACAAUGGGCGCAAGCCUGAUCCAGCCAUACCGCGUGGGUGAAGAAGGCCUUCGGGUUGUAAAGCCCUUUUGUUGGGAAAGAAAAGCAGCAGGUUAAUACCCCGCUGUUCUGACGGUACCCAAAGAAUAAGCACCGGCUAACUUCGUG